Molecule: transfer RNA, 68 nt
Filed under: Marmota monax (woodchuck)
Lineage: Eukaryota; Metazoa; Chordata; Mammalia; Rodentia; Sciuridae
Description: tRNA.Ala
Source: RNAcentral
GGUCUAUAGCUCAGUGGUAGAGUGCUUACCUAGCAUGUGUGAGGCACUGGGUUCGGUCCUCAGUACCA